RNAcentral lists this transfer RNA (70 nucleotides) under Embiratermes brevinasus. RNAcentral describes it as "tRNA-Trp". The record is from RNAcentral. Lineage: Eukaryota; Metazoa; Arthropoda; Insecta; Blattodea; Termitidae. RNAcentral also lists the same sequence under 3 other names.
AAGGCCUUAAGUUAAAACAUUAAACUAAUAACCUUCAAAGCUAUAAAUAAAGGGCUUCCUUUAGGCCUUG